CUGGCUCAGGAUGAACGCUGGCGGCGCACAUAAGACAUGCAAGUCGAACGAACUUAAUUCAUCUUUAGAUUGGAAGCGGUUAGUGGCGGACUGGUGAGUAAUGUAUAAGUAACCUGCCUAUCAGAGGGGAAUAACAGUGAGAAAUCAUUGCUAAUACCGCAUAUGCUAACAGAUUCGCAUGAAUUAGUUAGGAAAGGAGCAAUCCGCUGAUAGAUGGACUUAUAUCUGAUUAGCCUGUUGGUGGGGCAACGGCCUACCAAAGCUACGAUCAGUAGCCGGACUGAGAGGUUGAACGGCCACAUUGGGACUGAGAUACGGCCCAGACUCCUACGGGAGGCAGCAGUCGGGAAUAUUGCGCAAUGGAGGAAACUCUGACGCAGUGACGCCGCGUAUAGGAAGAAGGUUUUCGGAUUGUAAACUAUUGUCGUUAGGGAAGAUACAAGACAGUACCUAAGGAGGAAGCCCCGGCUAACUAUGUGCCAGCCGCAGC
RNAcentral lists this ribosomal RNA (490 nucleotides) under uncultured bacterium. RNAcentral describes it as "bacterial SSU rRNA". It matches the Rfam family "Bacterial small subunit ribosomal RNA", at positions 19 to 518 of the family's 1533-position model. The record is from RNAcentral.